UUGCUUCGGCGGGAACAGACGGCCCUGUAACAACGGGCCGCCCCCGCCAGAGGACCCCUAACUCUGUUUUUAUAAUGUUUUUCUGAGUAAACAAGCAAAUAAAUUAAAACUUUCAACAACGGAUCUCUUGGUUCUGGCAUCGAUGAAGAACGCAGCGAAAUGCGAUAAGUAAUGUGAAUUGCAGAAUUCAGUGAAUCAUCGAAUCUUUGAACGCACAUUGCGCCCGCCAGUAUUCUGGCGGGCAUGCCUGUUCGAGCGUCAUUACAACCCUCAGGCCCCCGGGCCUGGCGUUGGGGAUCGGCGGAAGCCCCCUGUGGGCACACGCCGUCCCUCAAAUACAGUGGCGGUCCCGCCGCAGCUUCCAUUGCGUAGUAGCUAACACCUCGCAACUGGAGAGCGGCGCGGCCAUGCCGUAAAACACCCAACUUCUGAAUGUUGACCUCGAAUCAGGUAGGAAUACCCGCUGAACUUAAGCAUAUCAAUAAGCGGAGG
This 492-nucleotide ribosomal RNA is filed under the name uncultured fungus. RNAcentral describes it as "eukaryotic LSU rRNA". The stretch from base 108 to 261 matches the Rfam family "5.8S ribosomal RNA". Lineage: Eukaryota; Fungi. The record is from RNAcentral.